UAGCCGCACCCCAAGUGGUGACCAGUAUUAUUGGGCUUAAAGUGUUCGUAGCCGGACCUGCAAGUCUGCUGUGAAAUCCAAGCGCUCAACGUUUGGAAGUGCAGUGGAUACUGCAGGUCUAGGGACCGGACGGCGUCGAGGCUAUUCCAUGGGUAGGAGUGAAAUCCUAAAAUCCAUGGAGGAGCACCUGUGGCGAAAGCGCUCGGCGAGUACGGAUCCGACGGUGAGGAACGAAAGCUAGGGGAGCAAA
RNAcentral lists this ribosomal RNA (250 nucleotides) under uncultured Nanohalarchaeota archaeon. Its description in RNAcentral is "uncultured Nanohaloarchaeota archaeon partial 16S ribosomal RNA". It matches the Rfam family "Archaeal small subunit ribosomal RNA", at positions 474 to 723 of the family's 1478-position model. The record is from RNAcentral. Lineage: Archaea; Nanobdellati; Candidatus Nanohalarchaeota.